GAGUCCCAAACAGGACGAAACGCGCGUCCUGGAU
Schistosoma mattheei is the source of this 34-nucleotide non-coding RNA. NCBI's taxonomy places the organism in Eukaryota, Metazoa, Platyhelminthes, Trematoda, Strigeidida, Schistosomatidae. The record is from Rfam.